AGUGAACGCUGGCGGUAGGCCUAACACAUGCAAGUCGAACGGCAGCACAGUAAGAGCUUGCUCUUACGGGUGGCGAGUGGCGGACGGGUGAGGAAUACAUCGGAAUCUACUUUUUCGUGGGGGAUAACGUAGGGAAACUUACGCUAAUACCGCAUACGACCUACGGGUGAAAGCAGGGGAUCUUCGGACCUUGCGCGAUUGAAUGAGCCGAUGUCGGAUUAGCUAGUUGGCGGGGUAAAGGCCCACCAAGGCGGCGAUCCGUAGCUGGUCUGAGAGGAUGAUCGGCGACACUGGAACGGAGACACGGUCCAGACGCCUAAGGGAGGCAGCAGUGGGGAAUAUUGGACAAUGGGCGCAAGCCUGAUCCAGCCAUACCGCGUGGGUGAAGAAGGCCUUCGGGUUGUAAAGCCCUUUUGUUGGGAAAGAAAAGCAGCAGGUUAAUACCCCGCUGUUCUGACGGUACCCAAAGAAUAAGCACCGGCUAACUUCGUG
RNAcentral lists this ribosomal RNA (492 nucleotides) under uncultured bacterium. Its description in RNAcentral is "partial 16S ribosomal RNA". It matches the Rfam family "Bacterial small subunit ribosomal RNA", at positions 29 to 507 of the family's 1533-position model. The record is from RNAcentral.